Molecule: ribosomal RNA, 507 nt
Filed under: bacterium enrichment culture clone ALO1_GLFRUDD03GDV02
Lineage: Bacteria
Description: bacterial SSU rRNA
Rfam family: Bacterial small subunit ribosomal RNA
Source: RNAcentral
GAGUUUGAUCAUGGCUCAGAUUGAACGCUGGCGGCAGGCCUAACACAUGCAAGUCGAGCGGUAGAGAGAAGCUUGCUUCUCUUGAGAGCGGCGGACGGGUGAGUAAUGCCUAGGAAUCUGCCUGGUAGUGGGGGAUAACGUUCGGAAACGGACGCUAAUACCGCAUACGUCCUACGGGAGAAAGCAGGGGACCUUCGGGCCUUGCGCUAUCAGAUGAGCCUAGGUCGGAUUAGCUAGUUGGUGAGGUAAUGGCUCACCAAGGCGACGAUCCGUAACUGGUCUGAGAGGAUGAUCAGUCACACUGGAACUGAGACACGGUCUAGACUCCUACGGGAGGCAGCAGUGGGGAAUAUUGGACAAUGGGCGAAAGCCUGAUCCAGCCAUGCCGCGUGUGUGAAGAAGGUCUUCGGAUUGUAAAGCACUUUAAGUUGGGAGGAAGGGCAGUUACCUAAUACGUGAUUGUUUUGACGUUACCGACAGAAUAAGCACCGGCUAACUCUGUGCCAG